Long non-coding RNA from Globicephala melas (long-finned pilot whale), 1578 nucleotides. RefSeq lists it as uncharacterized. Lineage: Eukaryota; Metazoa; Chordata; Mammalia; Artiodactyla; Delphinidae. The record is from RefSeq and is a predicted model, not a curated record.
UAUGAAUACCUGUCGUGCUAUAAAUGUCAUUUUCAUCGCAUUAAACUCAGGGUUUUGAAAACCGCUCCCCAUAAAAUGGUGAAAUUCACAGCAAAGGAAAACAUCUCUGUGCUGGUGAAAUCUUAAUGAUUCAGUGAUCUCAUGCUGACAGAGGAGAUGACAAUUUUUAUAUUUUCUUGAAAAAUACUAGUCGGCAACAGACACGGGGACUGACACGUUUUGAAGCCCAGCUGGCGGCACAAAACAUUUGCUGAGCCUCGCCCGGUUGCUCCCAUCGAUGGAACAUCCAUAGCUACCCAACCACAGAGCAAGUUUUUUCCUUGAGGGCAUCACCUGAGGACAUCACCUGAGGACACCAUCUGGAGUAUCACCUGAGGGCAUCAGUGGAAGUCUGCUGGACAGUCCGUAUUGGUGGCGCACCUGACUCAGCCUGGACAGUGGCUAAGUGUCAGUGCUGUUUUAAGGCUUUGGCUGUUUUCUUCUUCUGACUAAGAUGUCUAGGUAGAUAAGCUCCUGAAUCUGGGAUCACCUGCAGACCAUCCUGUGCCUUCAAAUACCGGUCUCUGUCAGAGAGAUACAGGGAGAAUCUCUGCCCUCAUCUGAGGAAACUGGCCUCCAAACCUAAAAAGAAGUAGUGAAAAAUCUAGUUAAACGUAAUAUAAUGUAAGCGUACUGAGGGGGAGAAGUCAAGAUGGUGGAAUAGGAGGACGUGGAAUUCGUCUCUCCUCACAAGUACAUCAGGAGCACGUCUACAAAUGGAACAGUUCUCACAGAGCACCUGCUGAACAUUAGUGGAAGACUUCAGACACCUAAAAGGACAAGAAAAAUCCCCUCGCCACUGGGUAGGAUGAAAGAAAGAAACAAGAAAAGAGGAAUCGGGAAGGGACCAGCAGCCCUGGUGGGGAGCUGAAGGUGAGGGGAGGUCCCCGCGCUCAGAGAAACCCCUCACAGCAGGGGAAUCAGCUGGGACAGAAAGGGACCUUCAGGAGAUUGGAGGGGAGUGCAGGAGAUGGUCUGUGGAAGACAGGACAGAGUAAGAACUGUACACAUGGUCUGUGCUGCAGCACUGCACACCCCAGCCUGUGUCAUGAGUCUCCCGGUGCGGAGGGGGACUGGGUGCUGGAAAGUGGGGUGUGGAGUGUGGACCCAGGGAGGGGACAGCUGCUGGCUGUGAAGAGGCAGCCUGAAGGGACAGGAGUAAGGAGCUCCACAGUCAGGAAAGUUUGCGGAAGCAGCCUGGGACACCACAGAGGCAAGGCAUCACUGUUGAGUGGCUCGCAAGGGGUGGGCCACCACCACAGCACCCUUCCCCACCCACUGGCCUCUUCAGCUCCGUGGGCACUGGGAGGGACUCCCAUCUGAGUCAGCCUCACCCACCCCUCAAGCCAAGGCCGCCUCCGCCUGCACAGACUCCGAGGUCCUGAGCGCAGCCCAUGCCAAAGCCUCCUUGGGAAUCAGCCCUGGGGGCCCCGGCCUGAGGCAGGAAGCCACCGAUGCUGGCGGGGGCUGAGUGCUAAAGCGUGGGCUUAGGAGAGCGGAUCUGGGGAGAGGACCACCGUUGGCUGCGUGGUUACAACA